GCAUGACUUAGUGGUUUGAGUGUUGGACUAUGACUCUGGAGAUCAGGGUUCAAUUCCCAACUUGGCCA
Molecule: non-coding RNA, 68 nt
Organism: Phrynosoma platyrhinos (Desert horned lizard)
Lineage: Eukaryota; Metazoa; Chordata; Lepidosauria; Squamata; Phrynosomatidae
Source: the annotation of a GenBank genome assembly